UACGUAGGGGGCAAGCGUUGUCCGGAAUCAUUGGGCGUAAAGGGCGCGUAGGCGGCGUGACAAGUCACUUGUGAAAUCUCCGGGCUUAACCCGGAACGGUCAAGUGAUACUGUCGUGCUAGAGUACAGAAGGGGCAACUGGAAUUCUCGGUGUAGCGGUGAAAUGCGUAGAUAUGUGGAGGAACACCGAUGGCGAAGGCAGCCCCCUGGGUUAACACUGACGCUCAUGCACGAAAGCGUGGGGAGCAAACAGG
RNAcentral lists this ribosomal RNA (253 nucleotides) under uncultured bacterium. RNAcentral's name for it is "partial 16S ribosomal RNA". It matches the Rfam family "Bacterial small subunit ribosomal RNA", at positions 524 to 776 of the family's 1533-position model. The record is from RNAcentral.